Perca fluviatilis (European perch) is the source of this 480-nucleotide long non-coding RNA. RefSeq lists it as uncharacterized. The transcript has 3 exons. The record is from RefSeq and is a predicted model, not a curated record. NCBI's taxonomy places the organism in Eukaryota, Metazoa, Chordata, Actinopteri, Perciformes, Percidae.
AUCACCGGCCGGUAGCUGGGUGCUAGUGGGCGGGGCUUAUCAAUGAACCGCAGGUGCUCAGAGUUGAUGAGAAGAUGGAGUCUCGGCGAGCUGGAGGACAGACUCGGUCCUGUCGCGUUUUCGUCACCUUUGCGUGUGGCCUGGAAACCCGAACGCCUUGUAUUGCCAGCUUUGUUUGCUUUUCGACCAACCACUUAUAAUAUAACCUUGAACUAGACACCAUAAACCGCAGAAGACGGGGCUGGUUGCUUAAUUGCGUGGAGCUGCUGAUGGAGUUGGCGGAGGUCGCUGUUCCAGGCGUCAAGGAUCCUCUGUACCAGUUGACACUUCUGGAAAAGCUGAGGGAUCGACAGAAACACAGAAUGAAGGUCGGCGGGCGGCUCCGUGGUGAUGAGGCGGACCAGCUCCUGCAUGCAGUGGUCCUGGGAGAGGAAGAGGAGGAGCCUGCGGUUUUGGGCCUUGCACUCCUGCAGGACGUCA